AUGCUGGCUUUGGCAGCACACACACUAAAAUCGGAGCAAUACAGAGAAGAUGAGCAUGGCCCCUGCUCAAAGAUGACGUGCAAAUCCAUGAAGUGUUCCAUACUUUU
Otolemur garnettii (small-eared galago) is the source of this 107-nucleotide small nuclear RNA. Lineage: Eukaryota; Metazoa; Chordata; Mammalia; Primates; Galagidae. The record is from Ensembl.